RNAcentral lists this transfer RNA (76 nucleotides) under Giesbergeria sp. RNAcentral's name for it is "tRNA-Phe". It matches the Rfam family "tRNA". From Rfam's summary of the family: Transfer RNA (tRNA) molecules are approximately 80 nucleotides in length. Their secondary structure includes four short double-helical elements and three loops (D, anti-codon, and T loops). Further hydrogen bonds mediate the characteristic L-shaped molecular structure. tRNAs have two regions of fundamental functional importance: the anti-codon, which is responsible for specific mRNA codon recognition, and the 3' end, to which the tRNAs corresponding amino acid is attached (by aminoacyl-tRNA synthetases). tRNAs cope with the degeneracy of the genetic code in two manners: having more than one tRNA (with a specific anti-codon) for a particular amino acid; and 'wobble' base-pairing, i.e. permitting non-standard base-pairing at the 3rd anti-codon position. The record is from RNAcentral. Lineage: Bacteria; Pseudomonadati; Pseudomonadota; Betaproteobacteria; Burkholderiales; Comamonadaceae.
GGCCCGGGAGCUCAGUCGGUAGAGCAGAGGAUUGAAAAUCCUUGUGUCGGCGGUUCGAUUCCGUCCCAGGCCACCA